UACUUAACUAACAGCAGGUGUUCGCUUCCGUAAAUUUGGGCAAAUAAGUCCGAUUUCGGACGCUGACUGUCACAAGUUGAAAUAAGAGGUUUAAAAAGUACAAUUCAUCAACACCACACGCCGCCUUUAAGGAUAUUUUUGGAUAUUUUGGCACCACAACACGAAUUCAGCCAACUUUUGGGACUGCUGCUGUCUUGAACUGGAACACAAAACCUCCCAUUUUGUCUGUGGAUACUGUACAUCAUGGUGGCCAGUAAGGAUGCCCACACUGAAGUGAAACCUCCUUGGGUGCGUAGAAAGCCAAGAUACAGAAAUGUCAAGGCCUGGGAGGAAGUGAUGGCAGGGGAGAGUGGACACAAUAAGGCCGCGUCAUGUCCAGGCGUGGGAGGGGCCCGAGAGAUGAAUGGGUGGAUCCUCUAAUUCACCCUGUUGCAGUUAUCAUAAUUGUUGAACAGCCACGCGUUUUAAAGAUCGGCUUGAGGAGAGGCAAGCCACACAAAGAAAGCUAAUAGAUUUGGAAAAUUGAGAUGGAUUGUGCCGCAAAGCACUUUUUUCCCCUUCUUCUUCUUCUUUUUUUCCUAUUUGGCAUGGGAGGCAAAUGGACAAAUAUGUUCCUUGGAUGAAGAAGCGUGCGUUUGAGAUGUGAUUUAACACAAAGGUGUCUCUGUUUGUUCUUCCCCUUUGAGGCCUCAUGCAUGGCGCUUCAAAGUCUGCAAUGAAGCAGCAGCAGAAGCAGUUCCUUUCUUGAGACACCAGGGGGAAAUGAAUAACUGUGGGGGGAAAAAGACACUUCAGGGACAAGACAAACUAUGGAAA
Entelurus aequoreus (snake pipefish) is the source of this 816-nucleotide long non-coding RNA. RefSeq lists it as uncharacterized. The record is from RefSeq and is a predicted model, not a curated record. NCBI's taxonomy places the organism in Eukaryota, Metazoa, Chordata, Actinopteri, Syngnathiformes, Syngnathidae. The transcript is spliced from 3 exons.